Long non-coding RNA from Poecile atricapillus (Black-capped chickadee), 3977 nucleotides. RefSeq lists it as uncharacterized. The transcript has 2 exons. The record is from RefSeq and is a predicted model, not a curated record. Lineage: Eukaryota; Metazoa; Chordata; Aves; Passeriformes; Paridae.
UUGUUUUAUGGGGAAAAACUCCUUCAGUUGUUUUAUGGUAAAGAAAUUCUUUCAGUUGUAUUAUGGGGGAAAAGUUCUUUCAGUUUUGUUAUGGUGAAGAAAUUCCUUCAGUUGUGUUAUGGGGAAAAAUUCCUACAGUUGUUUUAUGGGGAAAAACUCCUUCAGUUGUGUUAUGGUAAAGAAAUUCUUUCAGUUGUGUUAUGGUGAAGAAAUUCCUUCAGUUGUGUUGUGGUAAAGAAACUCCUUCAGUUGUUUUAUGGGGAAAAAUUCCUUCAGUCUCCUCCAGCUCUCCUGAGGGAUGUAGGCAGAGGAUGCUGGGCUGCUUUGAUAUUAUUUUUAUAUCUGGAUAUCAUGUAAACUUCUAAAAACAUCAUCUGUACCUGUGGAUUUGGGAAUAUUGACAAAAUUCCCGACAGGGAAUGCAUCCACACCAGCCUGCAGCAGGAAAUACCCACAGGAAAGGAUUUGGGGAGCACAGAAAACACUGGAUUGGCACUCAGCAGGAUUUUCUGACAGCAUGGAAAAGUGUGAUUGUGUGGAGGACACCAGGGCAGGAUCCAGGGAAAAGCUGGAAGAAGUUCCUGGAGAAAUUUGUAACACUCAGCUGCAGUCGCUGACUUCCCCAAUUAUGUUUGGAGGGGAUUAGCAAACACCAAAAGGGCUUUAGCAGCUGGAGUGUGAAAUGAAGGAGGUGUGGAAAACAAUCCCCGUGGUCUCACAGUGGGGAGAACCUUCCUGGGCUUCUCAGGGAACCUCUGCUCUUUGUCCAGCUGCUCCUGAAACCCUUCAGAGAACUAAAAAAUGUGCUAGGCCUCCCUUUCCACAGGGAAAAUGUUCCUUUUCCUUAAGGAAAAUGCCACAAAAUUCUUUGUUCAAUCCGUUAGGGAUUAAUGGAAUGAUCGUGGUGGUGGAUGGGAGGAAGGUGUUCUUUGGGAAGGUUUCAAUUUUUGGUAUUUGUGAAGAGAAAAAAAAAGGAAUGUGACUUUCCAGAGUGGGUUUUGUGGUGAUAAUUCCAGUUCUGUUCAUACAGGAUUUAUCCAGGGAAGAGCCUGGGGACAGCAGGAGGUGGUUUUGGGGUCCUUUCCCACCCAAACCAUUCCAUGAUGCCACUUCCCAUCCAUUGCUCCACUUUUCCAGAUGGAGGAAGGGAUUUGGAAAGGAAUGAUCUUGGUGGUGGAUGGGAGGAAGGUGUUCCUUGGGAAGAUUUCAAUUUUUGGUAUUUCUGAAGAUUAAAAAAAAGGAAUGUGACUUUCCAGAGUGGGUUUUGUGGGAUAAUUCCAGUUCUGUUCAUACAGGGAAGGAAUUAGGAUUAGGGAUUAAAGGAAUGAUCUUGGUGGUGGAUGGGAGGAAGGUGUUCCUUGGGAAGGUUUUAACUUUUGGUAUUUCUGAAGAGAAAAAAAGGAAUGUGAAUUUCCAGAGUGGGUUUUGUAGUGAUAAUUCCAGUUCUGUUCAUACAGGAUUUGUCCAGGGAAGAGCCUGGGGACAGCAGGAGGUGGUUUUGGGGUCCCUUCCCACCCAAACCAUUCCAUGAUGCCAUUUCCCAUCCAUUGCUCCACUUUUCCAGAUGGAGGAAGGGAUUUGGAAAGGGAUGAUCUUGGUGGUGGAUGGGAGGAAGGUGUUCCUUGGGAAGGUUUUAACUUUUGGUAUUUGUGAAGAUUAAAAAAAAGGAAUGUGAAUUUCCAGAGUGGGUUUUGUAGUGAUAAUUCCAGUUCUGUUCAUACAGGGAAGGAAUUAGGAUUAGGGAUUAAAGGAAUGAUCUUGGUGGUGGAUGGGAGGAAGGUGUUCUUUGGGAAGAUUUCAAUUUUUGGUAUUUGUGAAGAUUAAAAAAAAGGAAUGUGAAUUUCCAGAGUGGGUUUUGUGGUGAUAAUUCCAGUUCUGUUUGUACAGGAUUUAUCCAGGGAAGGAAUUAGGAUUAGGGAUUAAAGGAAUGAUCUUGGUGGUGGAUGGGAGGAAGGUGUUCCUUGGGAAGAUUUCAACUUUUGGUAUUUCUGAAGAUUAAAAAAAAGGAAUGUGAAUUUCCAGAGUGGGUUUUGUAGUGAUAAUUCCAGUUCUGUUCAUACAGGAUUUAUCCAGGGAAGAGCCUGGGGACAGCAGGAGGUGGUUUUGGGGUCCUUUCCCACCCAAACCAUUCCAUGAUGCCAUUUCCCAUCCAUUGCUCCACUUUUCCAGAUGGAGGAAGGGAUUUGGAAAGGGAUGAUCUUGGUAGUGGAUGGGAGGAAGGUGUUCUUUGGGAAGAUUUCAAUUUUUGGUAUUUCUGAAGAGAAAAAAAAGAAUGUGAAUUUCCAGAGUGGGUUUUGUGGGGAUAAUUCCAGUUCUGUUCAUACAGGAUUUGUCCAGGGAAGGAAUUAGGAUGAGGGAUUAAAGGAAUGAUCUUGGUGGUGGAUGGGAGGAAGGUGUUCUUUGGGAAGGUUUUAACUUUUGGUAUUUUUGAAGAGAAGAAAAAGGAAUGUGAAUUUCCAGAGUGGGUUUUGUAGUGAUAAUUCCAGUUCUGUUCAUACAGGGAAGGAAUUAGGAUUAGGGAUUAAAGGAAUGAUCUUGGUGGUGGAUGGGAGGAAGGUGUUCCUUGGGAAGGUUUUAACUUUUGGUAUUUGUGAAGAGAAAAAAACGGAAUGUGACUUUCCAGAGUGGGUUUUGUAGUGAUAAUUCCAGUUCUGUUUGUACAGGAUUUAUCCAGGGAAGCGCCUGGGGACAGCAGGAGGUGGUUUUGGGGUCCUUUCCCACCCAAACCAUUCCAUGAUGCCAUUUCCCAUCCAUUGCUCCAUUUUUACAGAUGAAGGAAGGGAUUUGGAAAAGGAUUUUGGGGUAAAAAAUCCUCCCUGUGAGGCUGAGGAGUGCCCAAGGCCAGGCUGGAUGAGGCUGGGAGCAGCCUGGGACAGGGAAAAGUCUCCCUGUCCUGGCACUGGAUGGGUUUGGAGCUUUUCCACUCUGGAAUUCCACAAUUCCAAGUGGAACAUCUCCACCCAAUCUUUGCAUUUAAAGAGGUUUGAUUUGAUUUUUGUAAUAUUUAAGCACCCAGAGGAUUUUUUUUUGGGGGGAGUGCAGCUGGCUUUGGGAGGAAGGCGUGUGUGGAAAAGCAGAGCUGGGCUCAGGAAGUGUCAGGAGGGAUAAAUUAUAAUAACUUAUUGAAAUAAUAAUAAUAAUAAUUUGAAUAAUGACUUAUUGAAAGUUAUUUCUUCCCCUGGGUAAUGAGGAGGUAAUGAGUGGUGGUGAGAGCAGAGGGUCUGUCCCACCCAUGGCCACCCAGGAAUUCCAUGGUUUGUCCUGGAAAAAUGAAAAUAAAGGGAAAAACACCCAGGAAUUCCAGGGUUUGUCCUGGAAAAAUGAAAAUAAAGGGGAGAAAUACCCAGGAAUUUCAUGGUUUCUCCUGGAGAAAAUAAAGGGGAAAAGCACCCAGGAAUUCCAUGGUUUGUCCUGGAGAAAAUGAAAAUAAAGGGGAAAAGUACCCAGGAAUUCCAUGGUUUGUCCUGGAGAAAAUGAAAAUAAAGGGGAGAAACAGGAAUUCUAUGGUUUAUCCUGAAGAAAAUUAAAAUAAAGGGAGAAACAGGAAUUCCAUGGUUUAUCCUGGAUAAAAUGAAAAUAAAGGGGAGAAACACCCAGGAAUUCCACAGUUUGUCCUGGAGGAAAUAAAGGGGAAAAGCACCCAGGAAUUCCAUGGUUUGUCCUGGAGAAAAUGAAAAUUAAGGGGAGAAACGGGAAUUCUAUGGUUUGUCCUGGAUAAAAUGAAAAUAAAGGGAAAAACACCCAGGAAUUCCAUGGUUUGUCCUGGAGAAAAUGAAAAUAAAGAGGAGAAAUACCCAGGAAUUUCAUGGUUUCUCCUGGAGAAAAUAAAGGGGAAAAGCACCCAGGAAUUCCAUGGUUUGUCCUGGAGAAAAUUAUAAUAAAGGGGAGAAACAGGAAUUCUAUGGUUUGUCCUGGAGAAAAUGAAAAUAAAAGGAAAAGAACCCAGGAAUUCCACGGUUUAUCCUGGAGAAAAUAAA